AUCCUCUGCAGACGACUGAAUGACCAAGCGGGUCGUGUAAGCGGUCAAGUAGCCUAGUUGUUACGAGUCGCUGAGCGUCAGGCCGAUCCUUGGCUCGAUUUGU
This 103-nucleotide non-coding RNA is filed under the name Coccidioides immitis H538.4. RNAcentral's name for it is "Eukaryotic large subunit ribosomal RNA". It matches the Rfam family "Eukaryotic large subunit ribosomal RNA", at positions 3300 to 3401 of the family's 3401-position model. Lineage: Eukaryota; Fungi; Ascomycota; Eurotiomycetes; Onygenales; Onygenaceae. The record is from Rfam by way of RNAcentral.